AUACGGAGGGGGCUAGCGUUGUUCGGAAUUACUGGGCGUAAAGCGUACGUAGGUGGCUUGAUACGUCGGAUGUGAAAGCCCUGGGCUCAACCUGGGAACUGCAUUCGAUACUGUCUGGCUAGAGUAUAGUAGAGGGAAGUGGAAUUCCGGGUGUAGCGGUGAAAUGCGUAGAUAUCCGGAGGAACACCAGUGGCGAAGGCGGCUUCCUGGACUAAUACUGACACUGAGGUACGAAAGCGGGGGGAGCAAACAGGAUUAGAAACCCCAGUAGUCC
Molecule: ribosomal RNA, 274 nt
Filed under: uncultured bacterium
Lineage: Bacteria
Description: partial 16S ribosomal RNA
Rfam family: Bacterial small subunit ribosomal RNA
Source: RNAcentral